Molecule: ribosomal RNA, 468 nt
Filed under: uncultured bacterium
Lineage: Bacteria
Description: partial 16S ribosomal RNA
Rfam family: Bacterial small subunit ribosomal RNA
Source: RNAcentral
GACGAACGCUGGCGGCGUGCUUAACACAUGCAAGUCGAACGGAAAGGCCCUGCUUUUGUGGGGUGCUCGAGUGGCGAACGGGUGAGUAACACGUGAGUAACCUGCCCUUGACUUUGGGAUAACUUCAGGAAACUGGGGCUAAUACCGGAUAGGAGCUCCUGCUGCAUGGUGGGGGUUGGAAAGGUUCGGCGGUUGGGGAUGGACUCGCGGCUUAUCAGCUUGUUGGUGGGGUAGUGGCUUACCAAGGCUUUGACGGGUAGCCGGCCUGAGAGGGUGAGCGGCCACAUUGGGACUGAGAUACGGCCCAGACUCCUACGGGACGCAGCAGUGGGGAAUAUUGCACAAUGGGCGGAAGCCUGAUGCAGCAACGCCGCGUGCGGGAUGACGGCCUUCGGGUUGUAAACCGCUUUCGCCUGUGACGAAGCGUGAGUGACGGUAAUGGGUAAAGAAGCACCGGCUAACUACGUG